This 301-nucleotide ribosomal RNA is filed under the name uncultured bacterium. RNAcentral's name for it is "partial 16S ribosomal RNA". It matches the Rfam family "Bacterial small subunit ribosomal RNA", at positions 509 to 807 of the family's 1533-position model. The record is from RNAcentral.
CAGUAGCCGCGGUAAUACGUAGGGUGCGAGCGUUAAUCGGAAUUACUGGGCGUAAAGCGUGCGCAGGCGGUUUUGUAAGACAGGCGUGAAAUCCCCGGGCUCGACCUGGGAAUGGCGCUUGUGACUGCAAAGCUAGAGUGCGGCAGAGGGGGAUGGAAUUCCGCGUGUAGCAGUGAAAUGCGUAGAUAUGCGGAGGAACACCGAUGGCGAAGGCAAUCCCCUGGGCCUGCACUGACGCUCAUGCACGAAAGCGUGGGGAGCAAACAGGAUUAGAUACCCGUGUAGUCCCUGUCUCUUAUAC